CCCUCAUCGACAACUCGUUGAGCAAGAGGUCGCAGGUGGUGCAGAUCGAGCCGACCGACAAGGCAUUCAAGACGUCGGGUUGCCAGCCGUGGCAACUGACCCCCGACGCCGCUCUGCCCCCCAGCACGCCGCCCGCGGGUGCGCAAACCACCCUGGGCAUCCUCAACGGGCUGCUGGGCGGCAACGGGCC
This 190-nucleotide non-coding RNA is filed under the name Mycobacterium bohemicum. Its description in RNAcentral is "Mycobacterium sRNA 6715". It matches the Rfam family "Mycobacterium sRNA 6715". Rfam says of the family: First sRNA identified as a potential biomarker for the detection of MTB in patients. Lineage: Bacteria; Bacillati; Actinomycetota; Actinomycetes; Mycobacteriales; Mycobacteriaceae. The record is from Rfam by way of RNAcentral.